UACGAAGGGGGCUAGCGUUGCUCGGAAUCACUGGGCGUAAAGCGCCCGUAGGCGGAUUGCUAAGUCAGGGGUGAAAUCCUGGAGCUCAACUCCAGAACUGCCUUUGAUACUGGCGACCUUGAGUCCGGGAGAGGUGAGUGGAACUGCGAGUGUAGAGGUGAAAUUCGUAGAUAUUCGCAAGAACACCAGUGGCGAAGGCGGCUCACUGGCCCGGUACUGACGCUGAGGUGCGAAAGCGUGGGGAGCAAACAGG
This 253-nucleotide ribosomal RNA is filed under the name uncultured bacterium. Its description in RNAcentral is "partial 16S ribosomal RNA". It matches the Rfam family "Bacterial small subunit ribosomal RNA", at positions 524 to 776 of the family's 1533-position model. The record is from RNAcentral.